CCUACGGGAGGCAGCAGUGAGGAAUAUUGGUCAAUGGACGCAAGUCUGAACCAGCCAAGUAGCGUGCAGGAUGACGGCCCUCCGGGUUGUAAACUGCUUUUAGUUGGGAAUAAAAGGGGGCUCGUGAGCCCCGUAUUGUAUGUACCAUCGGAAAAAGGAACGUCUAAUUCCGUGCCAGCAGCCGCGGUAAGCCGGAAGGUGCGGGCGUUAUCCGGCUGUAUUGGGUUUAUAGGGUGCGCAGGCGGAAGAUCAAGUCAGCGGUAAACUUGCGAGGCUCAAACUCUUCGAGCCGUUGAAACUGGUUGUCUUGAGUGAGCGAGAGGUAUGCGGAAUGCGUUGUGUAGCGGUGAAAUGCAUAGAUAUCACGCAGAACUCCGAGUGCGAAGGCAGCAUACGG
RNAcentral lists this ribosomal RNA (397 nucleotides) under uncultured bacterium. RNAcentral describes it as "partial 16S ribosomal RNA". It matches the Rfam family "Bacterial small subunit ribosomal RNA", at positions 338 to 731 of the family's 1533-position model. The record is from RNAcentral.